Molecule: non-coding RNA, 82 nt
Filed under: Clostridium sp.
Lineage: Bacteria; Bacillati; Bacillota; Clostridia; Eubacteriales; Clostridiaceae
Description: c-di-GMP-II sequence
Rfam family: Cyclic di-GMP-II riboswitch aptamer
Source: RNAcentral
UUAAGUUUUGGAACUGUGAAAAAUUCUCAUUAUUUGGGCACCUUUGAGGAUUUUGAGUUAGUGGUGCAACCGACCAACUUAA